AUAUUGAAAAAAAAAACAAGAAAAAAACAACAUGUGAUAUCUUAUUAUAUAAAGUACACGGUUUUGAAAGUUACUAACUCACGAGAUCAUGACACGUGUCAAGUAUAUCAUUGACAUGUUGAUAUAUGUCAAAAAAAAGUUUCUUUAAAAAAAAGAAAUAAACAUAUUUACAUAUACUAAUUUAUAUUUCUAUAUCUAAAAAAUUUAACUUAUAAC
RNAcentral lists this small RNA (216 nucleotides) under Arabidopsis thaliana (thale cress). Its description in RNAcentral is "ATSL047770". The record is from RNAcentral. Lineage: Eukaryota; Viridiplantae; Streptophyta; Magnoliopsida; Brassicales; Brassicaceae.